AAAAGAAAAAAAGCCAUUUCCUGCCCGCGAUUUGCCAGGUUUGCCCCAAAAAGGAGCGGAGGGGUCGGGGCUGUGCCCGCUGUGCGCGUUACGAGCUCGGAGCGCUGCUUUCGCGGUGUGGCUGGCGUGCCUUGGGUCUGCUGCAGCUGCAGAUGGCUUCUGCAGGCCGGCAAGAGGGCGAAUUGCUCUUUUUUUGGCACGGCGAAAUCUCACAUUUCUCUCUUAUUCAAACCGUGCCUCGACGCUGGCAGCUCCCCAGCGCGCCGCUGGCCCCCCGAGGUCCUCGUGCUGCGCGGCGCGGUGCCCGCCGGGCUGCCCGAGCUCUGCCCCUGCCGCGGGGCUUCGCGGCGCCGUGGUCGGGUUUUCUCCUUGUGCUGGAGGAACGGUGGCCGUCAGAGAUGGCAAACCCCGUCUGGAGACACCCCAGCUGUUCCUGAGGUUCUGGCCUGAACCUUGGGAGCGGAGCUGUGGCCUGAAUGAAUGAAAAGUGAAGUCACCCAAAGGGUGUUUUCAGGUGCACACUCAACUGUCCCGAUGCUCUUGUGCAAGAAGCGGCAGGUAUCUGAUGUCAGCCCUCUUGGUCAAUAAAUAGGAGGCUCCUGGAGGUUCUCAGCGCCGCGGGUUGGACUGCUCAGCGCUGCCUCAUCGUGCGAGCCCAAUGGCGCGGCAACUUGCUUUUCCAGUCGAGCUUCUCCUCGGUUUGUCAAAGCCUGCAGUUGAAGCUGCAGUAAGCCGGGGUGGGGCGGGAACACCUGCGCUUUUGAAGUCAAGGGCUGUGUCUUGUCAGUGCCCAUCUGGAAGAAAUACUGCCUGUAUCGUUCUAAACCCAGUCAUCUGAGAGCUACAGAAAUAAUCAUUCAUUCUGUUUAGAAAAUAGUCUGUUCCUAGGGCACAUGUCCUUUUUUUAGACUGCACGCGGAUGAAAAAAGAGCUUUGUAUCUCAAAAUGACACUGGUGUCUGCUGUUUGUUCCGUGCAGCAAGUCUUAAUCUUGUUUCUCUGACGUCACCAUGGGCUGCGGUGGAAGGACAAGGAAUGGCCCAGCGUUUCGGCAGGGGCAGGCAUUCUUAAUGCUUAAAUUAAUAAAGAUUUAGUGCUGGACAAUGAUGGAAGACUAUGGAGAACACGCAAGCAUGGUUUCUGUCUGCCAGAUUUCCAUAGAAACACCAAUACCUCUUCAGCUCUUUAAAUGCCUUCACUACAUUUUUAUUGUUGAAAACUUUUUUUUUUUUUUUAACUAAAUGUUUUAUGUUGCAGCUGUUGAUUUUAGGCAUUUUGGCUUUCUUUGGAGAACUGAAAAUAUGGGAAGGCAAGGAACUGUAGCUGUGAAGGAAAAUAGAACGUGAUUGGCAGACUUGAACUGUUUUAUAAAUUCAUCCUGAAUUCAAUAUAUGUUAUAACUUCAGCUUAUCAGUAGUUCUUCAACAGGAAAAGUGUCACACGAAUGUUUGAUAGAAAUUAGCCAUCUGACUGUUCCCUGGUGUAAGACCACAAGGACAAGAAGACUUUAGUUCUACCUGUGAAUUUGGGCAACAGUUCUCAGCACUGCUCUUAAGAGGGCAAAUUGGUAGCUUUUGCUAGCUCCUGGAUGCGUGAGCU
Molecule: long non-coding RNA, 1598 nt
Organism: Cygnus olor (mute swan)
Lineage: Eukaryota; Metazoa; Chordata; Aves; Anseriformes; Anatidae
Exons: 2
Source: RefSeq, a predicted model, not a curated record